Salmo salar (Atlantic salmon) is the source of this 1041-nucleotide non-coding RNA. The record is from RefSeq and is a predicted model, not a curated record. Lineage: Eukaryota; Metazoa; Chordata; Actinopteri; Salmoniformes; Salmonidae.
UCUCGUUGUAACGGUCGACGUCGUAGUGAAUGGACCAAGGCGCAGCGGGUUGAGAGCUCAUGUUAACUUUUAUUGUGAACACCACUAAUAAACAAAACAAUAAACAAACAGUCUUGUAGGCUCACACAACAACCUCCCACCAAUCCCAUGACAAACACAUUCCUAUUUAUAUAUUCAAUCAGAGCGAACGAUAGAGAGCUGCCUCCAAUUGAAGGCCCCAACCCCAAUUAACUAAACAUAGAAAUAGAAAUGACUAGAGAGAACAUAGAAAUACACUAACAUAGAAAAAUGACAAAAACCCCGGAAUACAUUAACCAAACACCCCUCUACAUACACACAUACCCCGAACCAUAUAAAACAAAUACCCCCUGCCACGUCCUGACCAAACUAUAAUAGCAAAUAACCCCUUUACUGGUCAGGACGUGACGCUGGUGUAGCCUGAAUGACAUGAUGGACAAACAUAGGGAGCUCCUUAGAAAGCUCUGAUGUUGGUAAUACCAUACAAAUGGUUGUUUUGCACAUAAAAGUACAGAAUAUGAGGAUGAGGUUGAGGGUUGUUCUGGAAUUUCAAGAGAGCUGAAUUAUUCCUACUACUAUGGUAUAAAACCACUGUAAGUGUUGUUACAUAGAUGCUGUGUUCACUAUGCAUGAUUAAUACAUAAUUCAAGGUUUAUUUGAUGUAGUAAAUAAAUAAAUGAUUUAUUGAUGUAUAGAUAAGAAUUUAAAUGUGAUGUAACAGGUAAAUUAACGUUAGGCCAUUGUUUGUGUUUUUAUGUUCCAUCCCGGAACUAACGUUCUCUGUUGUGUUACUGCUACGGAAUUUGUUAAUUGACUGUGUGCAAUCUAACUUAAGCAGAUCUAAGUCUGAAUCAUAAUUGUUGAUGGCAGAGGCUAAGAAAGACAGUAAAGGGACUUUCAAGGGACUUUAAGGAUUCAAGAACCUCUUUUCAGGACAAGCAGCCAACGAGUUCUCACGGCGUGACGUGGAUGCAUCGGAGAAAAAGACGUGCAAUGCAAUAAACGCCCGUUUCAAAGAACCAA